This 372-nucleotide long non-coding RNA is filed under the name Mytilus galloprovincialis (Mediterranean mussel). The record is from RNAcentral. Lineage: Eukaryota; Metazoa; Mollusca; Bivalvia; Mytilida; Mytilidae.
AACAGUUGAACCACAAAUUCAAAUGUUCAACGCACUUCAAAUAUUGUCUUACCUUAAGCUUGUACGCAGACAUUGUAAAGCCACAAAAUCAAAUAUCCACAAAAAAUGCAAAUUAUCUUCAAUCUGCGAAAAUUGGUACCAAUGAAAAUAAAUGAAACCACAGUUUUGUUCCCCUGAGAGCUCUCAUAAAAAGUAAACAACAAAUUAUAAAUAGAUAAAAAAAUAUAAUUUCGAAGCUGUACUUUACUAGGUCUGCAGUAAUGUUGAGUAAUAUACUGAAGCUAGAUGAAGAAUACUGUUCCCAUUUUAGCGUGUGAUGUACAUUUUUUUCAAUUUAUGCUGUUGAUUUGCUGCGGUUUUAUCAUGCUGACC